AUUGAACGCUGGCGGCAGGCUUAACACAUGCAAGUCGAGCGGUAGCACAAGAGAGCUUGCUCUCUGGGUGACGAGCGGCGGACGGGUGAGUAAUGUCUGGGAAACUGCCUGAUGGAGGGGGAUAACUACUGGAAACGGUAGCUAAUACCGCAUAACGUCGCAAGACCAAAGAGGGGGGCCUUCGGGCCUCUUGCCAUCAGAUGUGCCCAGAUGGGAUUAGCUAGUAGGUGGGGUAAUGGCUCACCUAGGCGACGAUCCCUAGCUGGUCUGAGAGGAUGACCAGCCACACUGGAACUGAGACACGGUCCAGACUCCUACGGGAGGCAGCAGUGGGGAAUAUUGCACAAUGGGCGCAAGCCUGAUGCAGCCAUGCCGCGUGUGUGAAGAAGGCCUUCGGGUUGUAAAGCACUUUCAGCGAGGAGGAAGGUGGUGAACUUAAUACGUUCAUCAAUUGACGUUACUCGCAGAAGAAGCACCGGCUAACUCCGUGCCAGCAGCCGCGGUAAUACGAAGGGUGCAAGCGUUAAUCGGAAUUACUGGGCGUAAAGCGCACGCAGGCGGUUUGUUAAGUCAGAUGUGAAAUCCCCGGGGCUCAACCUGGGAACUGCAUUUGAAACUGGCAAGCUAGAGUCUCGUAGAGGGGGGUAGAAUUCCAGGUGUAGCGGUGAAAUGCGUAGAGAUCUGGAGGAAUACCGGUGGCGAAGGCGGCCCCCUGGACGAAGACUGACGCUCAGGUGCGAAAGCGUGGGGAGCAAACAGGAUUAGAUACCCUGGUAGUCCACGCUGUAAACGAUGUCGAUUUGGAGGUUGUGCCCUUGAGGCGUGGCCUCCGGAGCUAACGCGUUAAAUCGACCGCCUGGGGAGUACGGCCGCAAGGUUAAAACUCAAAUGAAUUGACGGGGGCCCGCACAAGCGGUGGAGCAUGUGGUUUAAUUCGAUGCAACGCGAAGAACCUUACCUACUCUUGACAUCCAGAGAACUUUCCAGAGAUGGAUUGGUGCCUUCGGGAACUCUGAGACAGGUGCUGCAUGGCUGUCGUCAGCUCGUGUUGUGAAAUGUUGGGUUAAGUCCCGCAACGAGCGCAACCCUUAUCCUUUGUUGCCAGCGGUUCGGCCGGGAACUCAAAGGAGACUGCCAGUGAUAAACUGGAGGAAGGUGGGGAUGACGUCAAGUCAUCAUGGCCCUUACGAGUAGGGCUACACACGUGCUACAAUGGCAUAUACAAAGAGAAGCGACCUCGCGAGAGCAAGCGGACCUCAUAAAGUAUGUCGUAGUCCGGAUUGGAGUCUGCAACUCGACUCCAUGAAGUCGGAAUCGCUAGUAAUCGUAGAUCAGAAUGCUACGGUGAAUACGUUCCCGGGCCU
Molecule: ribosomal RNA, 1364 nt
Filed under: uncultured bacterium
Lineage: Bacteria
Description: bacterial SSU rRNA
Rfam family: Bacterial small subunit ribosomal RNA
Source: RNAcentral